RNAcentral lists this transfer RNA (4817 nucleotides) under Canis lupus familiaris (dog). RNAcentral describes it as "lncRNA (ENSCAFG00845012082.1)". The record is from RNAcentral. Lineage: Eukaryota; Metazoa; Chordata; Mammalia; Carnivora; Canidae.
AUGAUGUGCUUAAUGGAAUCAAGAGGAGAGAGGUCGCCAACGGAGAAGUGUAGUGAUGUGUCUGAGGUGAUAAUCAGUCUUGAAUAUACUCAAUGGCAAAGUAAGCUCUAUGCCCAACAUGGGGCCGGAACCCACAACCCAGAGAUCGAGUCUCCUGCUCUACUGACAGAGCCAGCCAGGCAUCCCUGGGUUUUUGUUUUUGUUUUCUUGGGUAGAAAAGUAUGGAAAUGAAACGGGGCGGCGAUUGAUCGCCAUACUAACUCCAGUUUAAACUGCUGAGUGUCUCCUAUCUUACUCAAUACUGCUUCUUGCUCUUCCCUGCUAGCUAUCUUUAAAAUUAUAGUACACCUUGAAGUCAAACUCACCUAAGAUUCAGCAUAUAAUAUUAUAGUUACAGAGGAGUCAAAGAUGAAAAUAUAUAGUCCUGUGUUAAAAGAACUUAUACUCUUCAUAAAAUUGAAAAAAUAUAAGACAUAGGUAGCUUAUAUGCCCUCUUGGAUACUGUUGGCCUUGCCUUCUCUGUAUUCCAGCCAUCAACUCCUCCUUGGAAGCUUCUAUGGUAUACCUAUUCUAUGUCUCACAUGAUUCUGUUGUCUGGAUUGAACUAAUUGCUUGUCUAAGAACAUUGGCUUUGGGCAGCCUGGGUGGGCCAGCGGUUUAGCGCCGCCUUCAGCCCAGGGUGUGAUCCUGGAGAUCCAGGAUUGAGUCCCAUGUCAGGCUCCCUGCAUGGGGCCUGCUUCUCCCUCUGCCUGUGUCUCUACCUCUCUCUCUCUGUGUCUCUCAUGAAUAAAUAAAUAAAAUCUUAAAAAAAAAAAAAAAAGAACAUUGGCCUUUCACUUGGGUUAUCACUGUGUAGCCAGGUAAGCAGCCAUACAUCCAGAGUCUCUGGUUGCUUCUCUCAUUUAUGGGCUUAGAUGAAACACUUCACCACAGGGCAUGGGAUCUGGCUUCCUGAUCAGUCAGAUGCCAUAUCCAGAAGCACAGGAUCCUGAGCCAGUGGAAGCCAGGAGACCAGAGGGAGCCAAUUCUCUGCUAAGAAUUCUCUCUCCUCUUUUCCUCCCCUCCUUUCUCAGACAGUUUCCCAGUGUGCCUGAGCAGAUGAAAACUGGCAAGUGAUUGUCUUAGUCUCUCCAUGGCUCAUUAUGGAGUAGUGACCAACGUGGUGACCUUGUGUUACCUACCCUUCUCACACGUACCUUCUGUCGCCCUCAUUUUCACUGCCCUGGGAUUGCAUUUCCCAUACAAAGUUUAUCACUUAAUUCAUGCAUCAGGCUCUGCUUUUGAGGAAUGAAUGGACGCCAGAGCUCCAAAAUUUGAGACUCUUAAGCAAAAGAAUGAAAGGGGAGUCAUUAGGCUUAAAAGAAGAAAAGACCUAGAAUAAGAAGAGUUCUUACAUAUCCCCUGUUCUUUCUGAUACCUGACCAUCAUUCUCCACACAAACCUCCUCCCUGCACCAUCCUCCUCCCCCAAUGCACACUGCCCCCUACUAGAACUAAAAUUAUUUUGCCUUCAGGACUAGCAUUUAACCCAGCAUUUCCCUUCCACUGACUGUUUUGCCUAAAAGAAAAAAAAAAUCACUUUAACUGUUGAUAAAUCCUUUCAUUCCACAAUUAGAGAUAAGAAGCUAAAAAUAUAAAUAACUGAAUCAGUUUUAGCUAUAAAGGAUGACAUCACACUCAUUCCUGGUUAGAUGGAGGAAGAGAGUGGCAGGGCAAAAAUGCAGUGGGCCCUUGGAAGGGGACAGAGCAGCCUGGAGGCAGGACAGAUGAUUUUAUCCAAUUAUGUGAUUUGUUCACGGCUCUGCACUGCUCAUCUUCAACUGAGACUAAGCAAAGAACGGCCGGACAUGGCAGUCCUGUGGGGACAUACAUAGGCAAAUUAUAAUGGAAACUAUGAUCAGAUAAUAGGCUUAAGCAGAGAUCUAAUCCAUGAUAGAAUAUUUAUUAAAAUUGGAAAGAAUUCCAUAUGUGGAAUGUCAAGUGUAUUAAAUAAGGGAAUUAUAAUGCUGGACAUUAUAGAACUGAAUGAGUAUUAUAGUUCAAAUUUUGUCGCAACAAAUGCUAUUUCAAGGAAAUCCUUUAUGGAAGAAAAUCUAAAUCUAAUCCUGGAGUGAUAGUCCAUCUAUUUAAAAUCAAGUUUGUUGCACUUUAUCAGCCAAACACAGAUAGGCUCUUAAAGUUCAUUGUAUAAGGUAUAGUCCAUAGGUGUGUGAGAUACUAGAGAGGAAGCUCAAUAAGAACGGAUGAUGGAUAGUUGGAAGGCAGGCCGGCAGGCACAAGGAGCAGCCUGCCCCCCCCCACUCCUGGAAGGAGCCCUCCACUUUCUCCCAAGUGAUGGAUAGGUGACAGAAACCCAACUGGAUGACAGGCACAGGAAAGGUUAAUCUGAUUAAAGCACAUCAUAAAAACCUGUAGAUUUAGAAACUCUUGGCAACCCUCUCGGGUCCCCUCCCUCCUCAGGAGCUGUGUACCAUCACUUUGCUAUUGCUCAAUAAACUUUGCUUUGCUACCUACCUCUCUGUCUGCUCUGCCUCUUCAUUCUUCAGAGCAGCAUGACCAAGAACCAUGGGCACCGAUGUAGGAAAAACCCUGUAACACUGACAGUGUUUGAAGUGAAAAAUUGCAAUCCUAUGACGUUCCUAAGUGUGGCUAUUAUUAAAAUCAGUUUCUCUGUAUACACCCCAAAAUUUUACUCUCUUCACUUUGUUGAUUGCCUUUAUUUGCCUAUGAUAUUUCAGUUGUGUCAUCAAUAUUGAUGAACAAGAUCAUCAAAUUAUAUAUGUUGUUGUUUAAGCCUAUGUGUGUUGUAGCUAUUUAAUAUCACAAAUCCCUGUCCUAAUUAAUCCUUUUAGUUACAUCCUAUUUUUCAAACAUGUGGAUGUUUGUUUAGUUGACUUUAGUUAACCUGACAGUGAGAAAAGAAUAUGCCUGCAUCAUAUGAAUGUCUUCCAUGAAACAAAAGGAACCUAUUCAUGACAGUUAAAAACUCCCCAUAGUCCCAUAAGCUAAUUAAAAUGAAGUAGAGUCACACUAGGUAGCAAUAACAGAUUAAUAUUUAAUUCAUAAUAACUACUUUUAGGAGCGCCUGGGGUGGCUCAGUUGGUUAAGCAUCAGCUCAGGUCAUGGUCUCUGGUCUCAGGGUUAUGGGAUUGAGCCUCUCCACCCCCAUUCUGGCUCUGCACUCACUAGGGACUCCUUUGAGAUUCUCUCCCUCCCUGCACUUGUACUCCUCAAGUAGAAAGUUGAGAACCUCCUCUGUCCUGAUGACAUAGAGAGAGACUGGAAGCAGGGAGUGGAGUGAGAAGGUUACCACAAUGGUCCGGGAAUUUUCUCUCUCUCUCUCUCAAAUAAAUAAAAUCUUUAAAAAAAAAAAUAAGAUAAAUACUUUUAAAUUGCAUUUUCUAUGUUUCCACACCCCAUUGGAAAUAAUCUAUAUUCCAAAAUUCAGUAAUAUGAACUAUUUUUCUAUAGCUGUUAUAAAAAGUAUCAAAAAUUUAAUGGUUUAACACAAUGCAAAGCUUUUAUUUUAUAGUCCUGUAGGUCAGAAGUCUAGUACAAGUCUAACCAGGCUAAAGUCAAAGUGUCUUCAGGUUUAUAUUCCUUUCUCUUGGUUCUAGGGGAGUUUCUACUUCCUUGUUUUUUCAGGUGUUGACAGAAUUCAGCUCAAUGUGGUUAAAGGACUGAGGCCCCAUUUUCUUGUUGGCUGUAAACUGAGGGCCAUUCUUGACUUUUAGAGGCCUUAUAUUCUUUGGCUCAGGGUCCUCUUCCUCCAUCUUAAAAAUCAGCAGUGGUGGGUGGAGUCUUUGUUGCUCAUAUCUCUGAUUACAGCUGGAAGAUUUCUGACUAGAUUGGGCCCACCUGGAUUAUCCACGGUAAUCUGGAUGGACAAUUUCCCAAAGUCAAGGUCUAUAACCUCAAUCAUAUCUGCAAAUCCCCUUUUGCUUAUGGAAAGUGACAUAGUUACAAGUCCCAGAGAUCCGGAUGUAGUCAUCUUUGGGGGUGAUGGGGGGCAUUAUUCUGCCUACCAUACAUAAGGAAGCACGUGAGUGGGGGCACAGAAUAAUGCUCUAGGAGAGAACUGUGCUUUUCACAUUUUCUUUUCAAUAAAAUCUUCUCCCAAACGUUUUCCCUCUAGAUGAUUUAUAGCUCUUGAAAUAUCAUGUAUACUGAUUUAUAGUUCAUAACUAAAGCCAACUGAAGAAAGCCUUCAUCCUGAGGCAUGGCUUACUAGAAAUGUUUUCUGUUGCUAGAAGUUCUGUUGGCCUCUCCUUAUUGGGUCACUAUAUCAACUAGCAUAAAGAGCCUCCUGGCUCUGGACUUCAUGGUCCAACAUUUGGAUCCUACAAACUGCCUUAGAUGUUUAAAUGGAACUAGAACAAGUCUCCAGAAGUAUAUGACUUGACUUGAGACUCCACUCCAAACCUUGGAGUAUCCUAUCAAUGGAAUGGGCUAGUUCUAGGCCUCUCUAAGCGGCUCAAAGUUACUUUUAGGUAGCCUCCAAUGAGGAUCUGAUCUAAUCCAGAUAUUUCAAAGUCAGACUUCCCUGGUGGUCAUUUUUCACUUUGGUCUGGACUAUCGAUUUAAGUUCCUGGACUAUUGUAGUAACCUUCUCACUCCACUCCUUGCUUCUAGUCUCUCUCCAUGUCAUCAGGACGGAGGAGAUUCCCAACUUUCUACUCGAGGAAUACAAUACAUUUCCAAUAAGAGUGCCUCAUUAUGUACUUCUUCUCAAAACAAAGUUCUGUUAAGUUUAUGAAAGAGUCCCAGACGAUUCUGAAUUCCCAAAGGUGGACCAAGUGAUUCUAGAAUCUGCCUUUU